RNAcentral lists this ribosomal RNA (535 nucleotides) under uncultured bacterium. RNAcentral describes it as "partial 16S ribosomal RNA". It matches the Rfam family "Bacterial small subunit ribosomal RNA", at positions 355 to 900 of the family's 1533-position model. The record is from RNAcentral.
UGGGGAAUAUUGCACAAUGGGCGAAAGCCUGAUGCAGCGACGCCGCGUGCGGGAUGAAGGCCUUCGGGUUGUAAACCGCUUUUAAUUGGGAGCAAGCGAGAGUGAGUGUACCUUUUGAAUAAGCACCGGCUGACUACGUGCCAGCAGCCGCGGUAAUACGUAGGGUGCAAGCGUUAUCCGGAAUUAUUGGGCGUAAAGAGCUCGUAGGCGGUUUGUCACGCCUGGUGUGAAAGUCCAUCGCUUAACGGUGGAUCUGCGCCGGGUACGGGCAGGCUAGAGUGCAGUAGGGGAGAUUGGAAUUCCCGGUGUAACGGUGGAAUGUGUAGAUAUCGGGAAGAACACCAAUGGCGAAGGCAGAUCUCUGGGCUGUUACUGACGCUGAGGAGCGAAAGCAUGGGGAGCGAACAGGAUUAGAUACCCUGGUAGUCCAUGCCGUAAAACGGUGGAUGCUGGAUGUGGGACCCUUCCACGGGUUCCGUGUCGGAGCUAACGCGUUAAGCAUCCCGCCUGGGGAGUACGGCCGCAAGGCUAAAAC